This 393-nucleotide long non-coding RNA is filed under the name Capsella rubella. RNAcentral describes it as "long non-coding RNA (CRUB_LNC003760)". Lineage: Eukaryota; Viridiplantae; Streptophyta; Magnoliopsida; Brassicales; Brassicaceae. The record is from RNAcentral.
UUCUGUUGUCUCUGAGUUUGCAACUACAAUGAUCUCACCAUCUAAUUGACACAAUUCAGAUUAUACUUUUCCCUGUUACUUGAUUAUAUUUACUAAGUUUUCUUCUUCAAAGUCGAAAUGCGAAACUUAUUAAUCAAUAAAAAGUGUUAUCUAAAAAAUGGUAAUUAAAUACAGAGAAAUGAAUCAAACUUGAGUAAAAAAAAAAAAAGAAACUAGCUGUAGUAGUUAGGGGAUCUUCCGUCUAAUGGUCUUGAGACGAUCUUUCUCAGAAGGCCAAAACCAUUAGACUGAAGAGCUCUCUCCAUACUUGAUUAGAUUAUGGGACAGGAGAGAUGAUACUCAUUUUCGUUUGUCUUGUUAAUGAUGCGAAUGAGAUGAUUAAGUUGAUGAUGA